This 253-nucleotide ribosomal RNA is filed under the name uncultured bacterium. RNAcentral's name for it is "partial 16S ribosomal RNA". It matches the Rfam family "Bacterial small subunit ribosomal RNA", at positions 524 to 776 of the family's 1533-position model. The record is from RNAcentral.
GACAGAGGGUGCAAACGUUGUUCGGAAUUACUGGGCGUAAAGCGCGUGUAGGCGGCCCUGUAAGUCGGGUGUGAAAUCCCACGGCUCAACCGUGGAAGUGCAUUCGAAACUACAGAGCUAGAGUUCUGGAGAGGAAGGUGGAAUGCUUGGUGUAGAGGUGAAAUUCGUAGAUAUCAAGCGGAACACCGGUGGCGAAGGCGGCCUUCUGGACAGUAACUGACGCUGAGACGCGAAAGCGUGGGGAGCAAACAGG